AUUGAACGCUGGCGGCAGGCCUAACACAUGCAAGUCGAGCGUGAAAGUUCCUUCGGGAGCGAGUAGAGCGGCGGACGGGUGAGUAACGCGUAGGAAUCUGCCCAGUAGUGGGGGACAACAUGGGGAAACUCAUGCUAAUACCGCAUACGCCCUAAGGGGGAAAGCAGGGGAUCUUCGGACCUUGCGCUAUUGGAUGAGCCUGCGUCGGAUUAGCUAGUUGGUGGGGUAAUGGCCUACCAAGGCGACGAUCCGUAGCUGGUCUGAGAGGAUGAUCAGCCACACUGGGACUGAGACACGGCCCAGACUCCUACGGGAGGCAGCAGUGGGGAAUAUUGGACAAUGGGGGAAACCCUGAUCCAGCCAUGCCGCGUGUGUGAAGAAGGCCUUCGGGUUGUAAAGCACUUUCAAUAGGGAGGAAAAGUUAAUGGCUAAUACCCAUUAACCCUGACGUUACCUAUAGAAGAAGCACCGGCAAACUCCGUGCCAGCAGCCGCGGUAAUACGGAGGGUGCGAGCGUUAAUCGGAAUUACUGGGCGUAAAGCGCGCGUAGGCGGUUUGAUUAGCUGGAUGUGAAAGCCCCGGGCUUAACCUGGGAAUUGCAUCCAGAACUGUCAGGCUAGAGUACAGUAGAGGUGAGUGGAAUUUCCUGUGUAGCGGUGAAAUGCGUAGAUAUAGGAAGGAACAUCAGUGGCGAAGGCGGCUCACUGGACUGAUACUGACGC
Molecule: ribosomal RNA, 722 nt
Filed under: Porticoccus sp.
Lineage: Bacteria; Pseudomonadati; Pseudomonadota; Gammaproteobacteria; Cellvibrionales; Porticoccaceae
Description: bacterial SSU rRNA
Rfam family: Bacterial small subunit ribosomal RNA
Source: RNAcentral